AUGGAUUUUCAAAAAGUCUUUACUGGAGGGAGUUCUUGUUGUGGCACAGCGGAAAGGAAUCUGACUAGGAACCAUGAGGAUGCAGGUUCGAUCUCUGGCCUCGCUCAGUGGGUUAAGGAUCUGGCAUUGUCACUGCUGUGGCACAGGUUUGACCCCUGGCCCAGGAACCCUCCCAUGCUGUGGGCGUGGCCAAAAGCAAACAAAAAACCCUAAAAUAACAUAGAUGCAGGAUUUUGCACAUGUCAUAUACAGCUUGAUGAAUUUUUACAAACCGAGCAUAUCCACAUAACCAGCAUCCAGAUGGGAAACAUGACAAGCCUGCCAGAAGCGGCCCUAUGUCCCUUUCCAGUUACUAUUUCCUCACCAAGAAGUCACCAUUCUGGCUUCUAACAGCAAACAUUAGUUUUGCAUGGCUCAUUUUUUCAUACUUGAGAUAGCUACUUCUGUUAUCCUCAUUUUACAUAUAAAACACAAGGAGCCAGAGGGAGGUUCAAUAACAUCCCUAAGAUCAUAUAGCUGGUUGGUAAAAGAGUCUGAAUUUGAAUCUGGAUCCUCUAACUCAGGGGCUAGGGAUGGCGUGCUAAAGUACAAUGAUAAUUCACCCAUUUCAUAAGCAUUUAAAAUCAUUUGUUUCUUCUGAAGUUAUGCCAAUCUCCUAACAGAGUUGCCUGAUCAUAAAAGUUAUUGAGGAGUUCCUGUCGUGGCACAGCGGAAACGAAUCCGACUAGGAACCAUGAGGUUGUGGGUUCGAUCCCUGGCCUUGCUCAGUGGGUUAAGGAUCCCGCGUUGCUGUGGCUCUGGCAUAGGCCGGUGGCUACAGCUCCAAUUCGACCCCUAGCCUGGGAACCUCCAUGUGCCGUGGGAGCAGCCCCAGAAAAGGUAAGAAGACAAAAAAAAAAAAAAAAAAAAAAGAAUGAAAGAAAGAAAAGAAAGAGGUUAACUUCAAGGGCCAGGAAGUCCUCACCUGCCCGACAUUGUUCUGACCGCAAAGACGGCCCCAUCUAGGGAGCUCGGCCUAGAAAUUCUGAGCUGCUUGGGGCCAAAUAGUUGGACCCGGAGAGUUCACUGAACACAGUUAAGGAACAGUAACCCAGAUGAAUAAAGUCCUGAAAAGACACUCCAAUCAAGGAACUUCUCUAUUCUAAAACACCACCUAGGAGAUCCCGCUGUGUAGCACUGGGAACCAUAUCCAGUCACUUAGGAUGGAGCAUGAUAAUGGGAGAAAAAGAAUCCUUAACGUGUGUGUGUAACUGGGUCACCAUGCAGUACAGUAGAAAAUUGACAGAACACUGGAAACCAGCUAUAAUGAAAAAAAAAUCAUUGUAUAAAAAAAUAAAACACUACCUAUAUUAUUAGCUUACUUUUGAAUAGCAUUUCCUACUUCAUAGAAGGCUUCCUUCAGCCCUGUCUCACCUGAGCUUCAUGAAAACCUGUAAUCACAGAAGAUGUGCUUCUUUCUCUCCUCCUCCUCAUCCAUUCAUUCAUUAACAAAUGCUUUUUGAGCAUCUACUCCAGGUUUGUUUUUUUGUUUUGUUUUGUUUUUGCCAUUUCUUGGGCUGCUCCCACAGCAGAUGGAGGUUCCCAAGCUAGGGGUCGAAUCAGAGCUGUAGCUGCUGGCCUACACCAGAGCCACAGCAACACAGGAUCCUUAACUCACUGAGCAAGGCCAGGGAUCGAACCCGAAACCUCAUGGUUCCUAGUCGGAUUUGUUAACCACUGAGCCACAACGGGAACUCCAUUGAGCAUCUACCCUGUACCAAGCUUUGUGAUGGGGCCAAAAGACAAUGCUGAGCUUUAUUGCCAUUUUAUCAAGGAAGACAUUGAGGCUUAGAGGAUAAAUGACUGGCCCAAGAUCACAACAAUACUCUCAAUUAAAUAAUAUGAUGGGACAAUUUACCUGGCGCCUUAAAUGCAGUGUCUCUUAAAUCCUUACAACUCUGUGAAGCAGUUACUGUUAUUCUACCUCCUAGUUUACACAUGAAGUACUUUUGAAGGUUGUCUGUCUGCCUGAGGCAGCUGUGUAGGCAGAAGAGCCAGCACUCAGACCCUCGUUGGUCUGACUCCAGAAGUGAGAGCUUAGGGAGUUCCUGUUGUGGCUCAGCGGAAAUGAAUCCGACUAGUUUUCCGUGAGGAUGCAGGUUCCAUCCCUGGCCUCGCUCAGUGGGUUAAGGAUCUGGCGUUGCCACGGCUAUGAUGUAGGCCAGCAGCUGCAGCUCUGAUUUGAUCCCCAGCCUGGGAACUUCCCUAUGUCGUAGGUGCAGCCCCAGUAAAUAAAUAAAUAAUGAGAGCUUAAGUAUUACUUUAUAGCUUCAACUGCUGAUGACAUCAUUGACUCAUCUGGGACAAUAAUCUCAUGAGGGCUUGGACUCUGAGUGAAUAGAAGCAUAAGAGCUUUAUGGUUCUGUGGGAGUUUGUAAAAUGACUUAGUUGGCUCAGCAUUAGCCCUACUUCUUGGGUUAAACAGGCAUUUCUGUGCAUCUCUUAGAGAAUAGCCUUUUCACCCAAAUGUUAAAUAUAUCUAUUCAAACAGAACUGGAAAUAAAAUUCUUGAAAUGUGAAGUUUUCAAAUACAUGCUACAAUAGCUUGAUGCCUUAAUUUUAACACUGCAUAGAGCUGGACACCCCCGAGAUGGGAGGGAGAUUGGCCGCUGAAGGCUUCACUUCCACUUUUCAGAAACGCUCCCCCUAGUAGCCUGAGAGUUUCUGUACCUCCUUUUCCCCCACUUAGUCCCACCAGGGGGCAGUCUCUUGAGGCGUGUCUGGCUUGUGGGGUGUUUGUUUGUUUGUUUGCUUUUUAGGGCCACACCCAUGGCAUAGGGAAGUUCCCAGGCUAGGGUCAAAUCGGACCUGUAGCUGCCGACUACACCACAGCCACAGCAACGCAGGAUCCGAGCUGCGUCUGGGACCUACACCACAGCUCACGGCAACACUGGAUCCUUAACCCACUGAGCCAGGCCAGGGAUCGAAUCCGCAUCCUCAUGGAUAUGAGUCAGGCUCUUUACCACUGAGUCACAAUGGAAACUCCCAUGGCCUGUGUUUUGAGGAUUCAAAGAGCAGAGAGAGCACCCUCACUUUCUCUGUGGAGCCCCAUUAGCAUCUAGUACCAUGUUGCAGCCUAGAAUGUUGGUCCUGGCAGCCUCCUCAUGAGCCUCCCUGCCUCCAUUCUUGCUCCAUCUGUCCUCCACAUUGUCACCAGGGUGAUCUUCCGAAAAGCAAUCUGAAUGUCACUCACAUCAAAAAUCUUCAGUGAGGAGCUGCUGUUGUGGCUCAGGUUAACAAAUCUGACAAGUAUCCAUGAGGACGCAGGUUCGAUCCCUGGCCUCACUCAGUAGUUUAAGGAUCGGGCAUUGUUGUCAGCUGUGGUGUAGGUUGCAGAUACAGCUCAGAUCCUGUGUUGCUGUGGCUAUGGCGUAGGCCAGCAGCUACAGCUCCAGUUCGAUCCCUAGCCUGGGACCCUCCAUAUGCCAUGGGUGCAGUGCUAAAAAGCAAAAAAAAAAAAAUCUUCAGUGGCAUCCCACUGCUGACAGGACCAAGGUCAGACACUGGCCUAAAACACACCAAGCCCAUUAGAGUCAAGCCUCUGCCUCUCUAGCAUUAUCCUGCCAGUUGCACACAAGCAGAACUGAUAUUCAGACCACGUGCACUGCCAGUGGCCCUGCGAUUGAGCAGAGCCUGCGCUGGUUACUGAAGACUUUGACGAUGGUUGCCAUUCUCUCUAAUUAUGGUCUGGCCUCCUUUUACUGCACUUUGCAAAUCCUGAGUGUUUUUUAACAAAUUGAAAGUUUGUGACAACCCUGCAUAGAGCAAGUCUAUUGAUACCAUUUUUCCAACAGCAUUAUUUUUAUUUAUUUAUUUAUUUGGCUGUGCCCAUGCCAUGUGGAAGUUCCUGAGCCAGGGAGUCAACCCAUGCCCCAGCAGCGACCCCAGCUGCUGCAGUGACAGUGCCAGGUCCUUAACCCACUGCACCACAAGGGAUCUGCAACGACAGUAUUAAUUUAAAAUUAAGGCAUGUAGAUUGGGGGUUAUUUUUGUUUGUUUGGGGGUUU
This 4046-nucleotide long non-coding RNA is filed under the name Sus scrofa (pig). RNAcentral describes it as "lncRNA (ENSSSCG00030022888.1)". The record is from RNAcentral. Lineage: Eukaryota; Metazoa; Chordata; Mammalia; Artiodactyla; Suidae.